UACGAAGGGGGCUAGCGUUGUUCGGUAUCACUGGGCGUAAAGCGCACGUAGGCGGAUCUUUAAGUCAGGGGUGAAAUCCCGAGGCUCAACCUCGGAACUGCCUUUGAUACUGGGGAUCUCGAGUCCGGGAGAGGUGAGUGGAACUGCGAGUGUAGAGGUGAAAUUCGUAGAUAUUCGCAAGAACACCAGUGGCGAAGGCGGCUCACUGGCCCGAUACUGACGCUGAGGCACGAAGCGUGGGAGCAAACAGG
RNAcentral lists this ribosomal RNA (251 nucleotides) under uncultured bacterium. RNAcentral's name for it is "partial 16S ribosomal RNA". It matches the Rfam family "Bacterial small subunit ribosomal RNA", at positions 524 to 776 of the family's 1533-position model. The record is from RNAcentral.